Aethina tumida (small hive beetle) is the source of this 222-nucleotide long non-coding RNA. RefSeq lists it as uncharacterized. Lineage: Eukaryota; Metazoa; Arthropoda; Insecta; Coleoptera; Nitidulidae. The record is from RefSeq and is a predicted model, not a curated record. The transcript is spliced from 4 exons.
GAGACAUUUGUACAAUAUGUUAGAUUACCCACCCUUAACGCUGGAUUCUUCUAUGCAAAAACUUGCAAAUAUUUCUGAAACGCAAGUUAAUUUUAAAACUUGGCAACGCCGACAACAAACAGUUUAUUGUUGGUGAUGGACGGAGUUGAUAGUACUGGAACUGGGUACCAAUUGGACUGGAAAUAAAUGGACAAGGACAAAAGUGUCGAACCUAAAUAUAUC